Amphiprion ocellaris (clown anemonefish) is the source of this 1125-nucleotide long non-coding RNA. The record is from Ensembl. NCBI's taxonomy places the organism in Eukaryota, Metazoa, Chordata, Actinopteri, Pomacentridae.
UUUCUGUAUACUCUUUAAAAAAAAUCUUGGCACUCUUGUAUAUUCUGUAGAUUUUUUUCUAUAUUUUAUAUUUUUUUAAAAUCUCAUUUCACUUUAUUUUUUGUUAUUUUUUAUUUUAUUUUAUUUUAUUUUUUUUACAGAUUGAGUUUCAUUAUAUUCACUCUAAAGACAUAAAUAUGGAGAAAUAACAAGCAACCAAAUUCAACAUGCAAAAUUUUACCUUUAAACCAUGAAUAUUUUCAGUAUUUCAGGAACCUCAUAGAGACACAUUGAAUACUAAAAAUAGAAUAUUAAAAGAAAUUGUUUCUGGAAGAUGAACCUGGUAUUAAAAUGUAGAUUAAAACCUUUCAUUUGCUGAUAUGACCAUAAAAAUGUGGCCUAAAAUGCUCUUUUUAAAAAAGUUUUCUCUGGUGAAUUAUCAGAAACCAGAUUUCUAUGACUCUGUGUCAACAAUAUUAUUAAACUGGUGCAGUUUUAGUGUUAAAAACGGUGAUAUAUUCCAUAACAUUGAUGCGCAAGAAUGGUUUUAGAGCAAAAACAUGCUGAAUAAAAAUGAGAUUUUGGUUUUAGAUUGUAACACCUGGCAGGAUGUAAAAUAGAUUUGGUGUUUUUACGUGUUCUUCAUGUUUCUAUCGCUUGUUCUUUGAAAUUUUGAGGGUUAAAAAAUGCUGAAAAAAGUAUUUAAAUUAAAAAGUGUGAUAUUCUAAUCCAGCUCUAUGUACUUCAAACCUGAAAAUAUUAUUAGCAUGAAGGUAAAACUGUACGGCUCCGUCAAAUAUGCUAAAAUUAUUGUGUGGAAGAAGGUUGAUUCAGACGGGUUCGGCUUAUUAUCUCACUACCUGGAACCAAAAUUGGAAGGGAGCAGAUCAACUGUGUUUUUUAAAUUCUAUUGUGAGCCGGCGACAAGGAGGAAAUGUUGUUUUGUCUUUUUGUUUUUCCCUCAGGAUUAAAGAACAACAAGCUGAUGGUGGAAAAGAAAAAAAGUUUCCUCCAAAGUUGUCUUAUCUGUAGCUGGUUUUUGUCUGUUCCAGCACUUUGUACAUAGUUAUUUUUAUGCAAAAACUCUUUUUUUUAUGAAUUUGACAGUAACUUUUGUAACUUUUUUCAAUAAAAUGUGCAUCAGGU